Molecule: ribosomal RNA, 492 nt
Filed under: uncultured bacterium
Lineage: Bacteria
Description: partial 16S ribosomal RNA
Rfam family: Bacterial small subunit ribosomal RNA
Source: RNAcentral
AGUGAACGCUGGCGGUAGGCCUAAUACAUGCAAGUCGAACGGCAGCACAGUAAGAGCUUGCUCUUACGGGUGGCGAGUGGCGGACGGGUGAGGAAUACAUCGGAAUCUACUUUUUCGUGGGGGAUAACGUAGGGAAACUUACGCUAAUACCGCAUACGACCUACGGGGGAAAGCAGGGGAUCUUCGGACCUUGCGCGAUUGAAUGAGCCGAUGUCGGAUUAGCUAGUUGGCGGGGUAAAGGCCCACCAAGGCGACGAUCCGUAGCUGGUCUGAGAGGAUGAUCAGCCACACUGGAACUGAGACACGGUCCAGACUCCUACGGGAGGCAGCAGUGGGGAAUAUUGGACAAUGGGCGCAAGCCUGAUCCAGCCAUACCGCGUGGGUGAAGAAGGCCUUCGGGUUGUAAAGCCCUUUUGUUGGGAAAGAAAAGCAGCAGGUUAAUACCCCGCUGUUCUGACGGUACCCAAAGAAUAAGCACCGGCUAACUUCGUG